RNAcentral lists this small RNA (76 nucleotides) under Jejuia pallidilutea. RNAcentral describes it as "Flavo-1 RNA". Lineage: Bacteria; Pseudomonadati; Bacteroidota; Flavobacteriia; Flavobacteriales; Flavobacteriaceae. The record is from RNAcentral.
UUUUUACUUGGAAUAAAGUGUUCCUUUCCGUCCCGAUAGCUAUCGGGACGGAAAGGUUUAACGGAAUGGAAAGUAA